Molecule: long non-coding RNA, 601 nt
Organism: Venturia canescens
Lineage: Eukaryota; Metazoa; Arthropoda; Insecta; Hymenoptera; Ichneumonidae
Exons: 3
Source: RefSeq, a predicted model, not a curated record
GUUCGUUUAAGCAAAUUCAGGUUAUGUCUCAACUUUUCUUCUUUCCCUUUUUCUGCACAUAUUUUUUAUUGACAACGAAAAGUGCUUUAAAAUUUUAAAUAACAAUAUUUGGAGGUAAUCAAACAUCAUAAAAAUGUCCGCCUCUAUUCCCCGGUGCCAAAAGGGUGAUGACAGCUCUCAUUUUUGGCAUUGGUAUUGGCUUAUUUGUCGUACUUUUGCUGUGGCUAGCAGCAGCUCUGGUGUUUGCAGCGUCAUUGAGAACUGAAAAAAAAGUAGGAGCAAUUGCAAUUGCCGUAGCAGUUUUAGUAACUGUUAUUCUAGUGGGAGCACCCAGAGGAGCUGAAGAACCUGUUUUUAGAGAGGACAAGUCAGGUGUCUGUCGAUACACCGGUUUAAGGCAAUGCUGUGACUCGCUGAUAACUUGGAGAGACACCCAAGACGUGAACCAGAGACAAAAAUGCCGACGCAAGGAUUCUUCGAAUCAAAACAAAAUGUUCAUCUUGAAUCAUCAAAAAAUGGCAGAAAACUGUAGCGGGAAAUUCAUCAAUAUUACAUGAGAAGGACAACUUUCUAAGAAAAUACAGACACUAUUUUUAUCGUC